AGAUUAAGUUAUUAAGGGCGCACGGUGGAUGCCUUGGCACUAGAAGCCGAUGAAGGACGUUACUAACGACGAUAUGCUUUGGGGAGCUGUAAGUAAGCUUUGAUCCAGAGAUUUCCGAAUGGGGAAACCCAGCAUGAGUUAUGUCAUGUUAUCGAUAUGUGAAUACAUAGCAUAUCAGAAGGCACACCCGGAGAACUGAAACAUCUUAGUACCCGGAGGAAGAGAAAGAAAAUUCGAUUCCCUUAGUAGCGGCGAGCGAAACGGGAAGAGCCCAAACCAACAAGCUUGCUUGUUGGGGUUGUAGGACACUCUAUACGGAGUUACAAAGGACGACAUUAGACGAAUCAUCUGGAAAGAUGAAUCAAAGAAGGUAAUAAUCCUGUAGUCGAAAAUGUUGUCUCUCUUGAGUGGAUCCUGAGUACGACGGAGCACGUGAAAUUCCGUCGGAAUCUGGGAGGACCAUCUCCUAAGGCUAAAUACUCUCUAGUGACCGAUAGUGAACCAGUACCGUGAGGGAAAGGUGAAAAGCACCCCGGAAGGGGAGUGAAAUAGAACCUGAAACCGU
RNAcentral lists this ribosomal RNA (565 nucleotides) under Escherichia coli. RNAcentral's name for it is "partial 23S ribosomal RNA". It matches the Rfam family "Bacterial large subunit ribosomal RNA", at positions 1 to 559 of the family's 2925-position model. Lineage: Bacteria; Pseudomonadati; Pseudomonadota; Gammaproteobacteria; Enterobacterales; Enterobacteriaceae. The record is from RNAcentral.